This is a long non-coding RNA of Chinchilla lanigera (long-tailed chinchilla), 375 nucleotides long. RefSeq lists it as uncharacterized. Lineage: Eukaryota; Metazoa; Chordata; Mammalia; Rodentia; Chinchillidae. The record is from RefSeq and is a predicted model, not a curated record. The transcript is spliced from 2 exons.
GUUGAAUGGUAAAAUACGGGCAGUGCUCCUUUCCAAGGAGAAUUGGCAUAGAUACUGCUGACAUCCCUUCUAUAAAGCAACAUGCUAAGCACCAGCCGGUAGAGACCAGAAAAAGAAGUCAAAGUGAAUGACACUUGAAUCUCAGUGGGGCGACCCAGACACAUCCUGAAGCAUCUCACAUCCCUACUGAACCAUGAAGGAUUCCACCACUGGCUCUACAGGUCACCAGUGUCAGCUCGGCAGAACACAGACCUCAAGCCUGAGUUCCCGCCAGCAUUUCUUCUUGCAAACCAUGAAGCAAGAACACACAGUCCUGCUUCCCUUCCUCCAACAAUCACUAUGAUUUGGAAGCAAAUAUAUAUAUAUAUAUAUAUA